CAGCUCUCCGAGUUGUAGGGAUGAUUAUUGGGCUUAAAGCGUCCGUAGCCGGCUUAGCAAGUCUCCUGUUAAAUUCAGCGACCUAAUCGUUGAGCCGCGGGAGAUACUACUAGGCUAGGAGGCGGGAGAGGUCGACGGUACUUUCGGGGUAGGGGUGAAAUCCUAUAAUCCCGGGAGGACCACCAGUGGCGAAGGCUGUCGACUAGAACGCGCUCGACGGUGAGGGACGAAAGCUGGGGGAGCGAACCGGAUUAGAUACCCGCGUAGUCC
This 270-nucleotide ribosomal RNA is filed under the name uncultured archaeon. Its description in RNAcentral is "partial 16S ribosomal RNA". It matches the Rfam family "Archaeal small subunit ribosomal RNA", at positions 477 to 747 of the family's 1478-position model. The record is from RNAcentral.